GGCUCAAUAGUUCAGAGGUAGAAUUCUUGCUUUGGGUCACCAAGGUACUUAACUGUAAGAGGUCCCGCGUUCAAUUCGCGGUUGAGCCC
Non-coding RNA from Exophiala bonariae, 89 nucleotides. The record is from the annotation of a RefSeq genome assembly. NCBI's taxonomy places the organism in Eukaryota, Fungi, Ascomycota, Eurotiomycetes, Chaetothyriales, Herpotrichiellaceae.